GAGUUUGAUCCCUGGCUCAGGACGAACGCUGGCGGUAUGCUUAACACAUGCAAGUCGAACGAGAAGGAAGAGCUUGCUCUUCCUGAAAGUGGCGAACGGGUGAGUAACGCGUGGGUAACCUACCCUUUGGAAAGGAAUAGCCUCGGGAAACUGGGAGUAAUGCCUUAUAAGAUACGUUUGUCGCAUGGCAUUUGUAUUAAACGCUCCGGCGCCAUAGGAUGGACCCGCGUCCCAUUAGCUAGUUGGUGAGAUAACAGCUCACCAAGGCCACGAUGGGUAACCGGUCUGAGAGGGCGAACGGUCACACUGGAACUGAGACACGGUCCAGACUCCUACGGGAGGCAGCAGUGGGGAAUAUUGCGCAAUGGGGGCAACCCUGACGCAGCAAUACCGCGUGAGUGAAGAAGGUUUUCGGAUCGUAAAGCUCUGUUAUUGGGGAAGAAAAAAAGACGGUACCCAAGAAGAAAGUUCCGGCUAACUACGUGCCAGCAGCCGCGGUAAUACGUAGGGAACAAGCGUUGUCCGGAUUUACUGGGCGUAAAGGGCACGCAGGCGGUUUUUUAAGUCAGAUGUGAAAGGCCACAGCUCAACUGUGGACAUGCAUUUGAAACUGAAAGACUUGAGUAUUGGAGAGGCAAGUGGAAUUCCUAGUGUAGCGGUGAAAUGCGAGUUUGAUCCCUGGCUCAGGACGAACGCUGGCGGUAUGCUUAACACAUGCAAGUCGAACGAGAAGGAAGAGCUUGCUCUUCCUGAAAGUGGCGAACGGGUGAGUAACGCGUGGGUAACCUACCCUUUGGAAAGGAAUAGCCUCGGGAAACUGGGAGUAAUGCCUUAUAAGAUACGUUUGUCGCAUGGCAUUUGUAUUAAACGCUCCGGCGCCAUAGGAUGGACCCGCGUCCCAUUAGCUAGUUGGUGAGAUAACAGCUCACCAAGGCCACGAUGGGUAACCGGUCUGAGAGGGCGAACGGUCACACUGGAACUGAGACACGGUCCAGACUCCUACGGGAGGCAGCAGUGGGGAAUAUUGCGCAAUGGGGGCAACCCUGACGCAGCAAUACCGCGUGAGUGAAGAAGGUUUUCGGAUCGUAAAGCUCUGUUAUUGGGGAAGAAAAAAAGACGGUACCCAAGAAGAAAGUUCCGGCUAACUACGUGCCAGCAGCCGCGGUAAUACGUAGGGAACAAGCGUUGUCCGGAUUUACUGGGCGUAAAGGGCACGCAGGCGGUUUUUUAAGUCAGAUGUGAAAGGCCACAGCUCAACUGUGGACAUGCAUUUGAAACUGAAAGACUUGAGUAUUGGAGAGGCAAGUGGAAUUCCUAGUGUAGCGGUGAAAUGC
This 1334-nucleotide ribosomal RNA is filed under the name uncultured bacterium. RNAcentral's name for it is "bacterial SSU rRNA". The stretch from base 660 to 1334 matches the Rfam family "Bacterial small subunit ribosomal RNA", at positions 1 to 689 of the family's 1533-position model. The record is from RNAcentral.